This 371-nucleotide ribosomal RNA is filed under the name uncultured bacterium. RNAcentral's name for it is "bacterial SSU rRNA". It matches the Rfam family "Bacterial small subunit ribosomal RNA", at positions 527 to 896 of the family's 1533-position model. The record is from RNAcentral.
AGAGACUGCAAGCGUUAUUCGGAUUCACUGGGCGUAAAGGGCGCGCAGGCGGCCAUGUGUGUGAGGCGUGAAAGCCCGGGGCUUAACCCCGGAAUUGCACCUCAAACUACAUGGCUAGAGCAUUGGAGAGGGUAGCAGAAUUCACGGUGUAGCAGUGAAAUGCGUAGAUAUCGUGAGGAAUACCAGAGGCGAAGGCGGCUACCUGGACAAUUGCUGACGCUCAGGCACGAAAGCGUGGGGAGCAAAAGGCAUUAGAUACCCCUGUAGUCCACGCCCUAAACGGUGCACACUAGGUCUUGGCGGAUUCGACCCCGCCAGGGCCCAAGCUAACGCGUUAAGUGUGCCGCCUGAGGACUACGGCCGUAAGGCUA